Molecule: long non-coding RNA, 127 nt
Organism: Sander lucioperca (pikeperch)
Lineage: Eukaryota; Metazoa; Chordata; Actinopteri; Perciformes; Percidae
Exons: 3
Source: RefSeq, a predicted model, not a curated record
GGUGCCAAUAAAAUGAUAGCUUAUGAAUAUCUCUGGUUGUUGUUUCUGUUCCACGACAUUUUGUAUGUCAUGUUUGGGUUGUGGGAUGAAGAGAGGGAUCAUUUUAAAACUAUUUAAAUUAUCUGGA